AGAACGAACGCUGGCGGCAGGCCUCAAACAUGCAAGUCUAGGGGGUGUAGCAAUACAUCACCGGCGGACGGGUGCGUAACACGUGGGAAUAUACCUUUUGGUUCGGAACAACGCAGGGAAACUUGCGCUAAUACCGAAUGUGCCCUUACGGGGAAAGAUUUAUCGCCAAAGGAUUAGCCCGCGUAGGAUUAGCUAGUUGGUGAGGUAAUAGCUCACCAAGGCUCCGAUCCUUAGCUGUUCUGAGAGGAAGAUCAGCCACACUGGGACUGAGACACGGCCCAGACUCCUACGGGAGGCAGCAGUUGGGAAUCUUGGACAAUGGGGAAACCCUGAUCCAGCCAUGCCGCGUGAGUGAUGAAGGCCUUCGGGUUGUAAAACUCUUUCGACGGGGACGAUAAUGACGGUACCGUAGAAGAAGCUCCGGCUAACUUCGCGCCAGCAGCCGC
RNAcentral lists this ribosomal RNA (446 nucleotides) under uncultured bacterium. RNAcentral describes it as "SSU rRNA". It matches the Rfam family "Bacterial small subunit ribosomal RNA", at positions 26 to 518 of the family's 1533-position model. The record is from RNAcentral.